RNAcentral lists this ribosomal RNA (562 nucleotides) under uncultured bacterium. RNAcentral describes it as "partial 16S ribosomal RNA". It matches the Rfam family "Bacterial small subunit ribosomal RNA", at positions 355 to 907 of the family's 1533-position model. The record is from RNAcentral.
UGGGGAAUAUUGCACAAUGGGCGCAAGCCUGAUGCAGCCAUGCCGCGUGUGUGAAGAAGGCCUUCGGGUUGUAAAGCACUUUCAGCGAGGAGGAAGGUGGUGAAGCUUAAUACGCUCAUCAAUUGACGUUACUCGCAGAAGAAGCACCGGCUAACUCCGUGCCAGCAGCCGCGGUAAUACGGAGGGUGCAAGCGUUAAUCGGAAUUACUGGGCGUAAAGCGCACGCAGGCGGUUUGUUAAGUCAGAUGUGAAAUCCCCGGGCUCAACCUGGGAACUGCAUUUGAAACUGGCAAGCUAGAGUCUCGUAGAGGGGGGUAGAAUUCCAGGUGUAGCGGUGAAAUGCGUAGAGAUCUGGAGGAAUACCGGUGGCGAAGGCGGCCCCCUGGACGAAGACUGACGCUCAGGUGCGAAAGCGUGGGGCAGCAACAGGAUUAGAUACCCUGGUAGUCCACGCUGUAAACGAUGUCGAUUUUGGAGGUUGUGCCCUUGAGGCGUGGCUUCCGGAGCUAACGCGUUAAAUCGACCGCCUGGGGAGUACGGCCGCAAGGUUAAAACUCAAAGU